AGCGAACGCUGGCGGCAGGCUUAACACAUGCAAGUCGAGCGGGCCUUUCGGGGUCAGCGGCGGACGGGUGAGUAACGCGUGGGAACGUGCCCUCUGGUUCGGAAUAACUCAGGGAAACUUGAGCUAAUACCGGAUACGCCCUUUUGGGGAAAGGCUUGCUGCCGGAGGAUCGGCCCGCGUCUGAUUAGCUAGUUGGUGAGGUAACGGCUCACCAAGGCGACGAUCAGUAGCUGGUCUGAGAGGAUGAUCAGCCACAAUGGGACUGAGACACGGCCCAGACUCCUACGGGAGGAAGCAGUGGGGAAUAUUGGACAAUGGGCGCAAGGCUGAUCCAGCCAUGCCGGGUGAGUGAUGAAGGCCUUAGGGUUGUAAAGCUCUUUUAUCCGGGACGAUAAUGACGGUACCGGAGGAAUAAGCCCCGGCUAACUUCGUG
This 433-nucleotide ribosomal RNA is filed under the name uncultured bacterium. RNAcentral describes it as "partial 16S ribosomal RNA". It matches the Rfam family "Bacterial small subunit ribosomal RNA", at positions 29 to 507 of the family's 1533-position model. The record is from RNAcentral.